Molecule: ribosomal RNA, 253 nt
Filed under: uncultured bacterium
Lineage: Bacteria
Description: partial 16S ribosomal RNA
Rfam family: Archaeal small subunit ribosomal RNA
Source: RNAcentral
UACCCGCAGCACAAGUGGUGGUCAUUAUUAUUGGGCCUAAAGCGUCCGUAGCUUGCGUGUUAGAUGCCUGGGUAAAUCGAUGGGCUUAACCCAUCGAAUUCCGGGUAGACCGGCACGCUCGAGACCGGGAGGGGUGUAGGGUACUCGGGGGGUAGGGGUAAAAUCCUGUAAUCCUCCGGGGACGACCAGUGGCGAAGGCGCUACACUAGAACGGCUCUGACAGUGAGGGACGAAGCCCUGGGGCGCAAACCGG